RNAcentral lists this transfer RNA (76 nucleotides) under Enterococcus alcedinis. RNAcentral's name for it is "tRNA-Val". It matches the Rfam family "tRNA". From Rfam's summary of the family: Transfer RNA (tRNA) molecules are approximately 80 nucleotides in length. Their secondary structure includes four short double-helical elements and three loops (D, anti-codon, and T loops). The record is from RNAcentral. Lineage: Bacteria; Bacillati; Bacillota; Bacilli; Lactobacillales; Enterococcaceae.
UGGGGGUUUAGCUCAGCUGGGAGAGCAUCUGCCUUACAAGCAGAGGGUCAGCGGUUCGAACCCGUUAACCCCCAUC